RNAcentral lists this ribosomal RNA (450 nucleotides) under uncultured Glomeromycotina. RNAcentral's name for it is "SSU rRNA". It matches the Rfam family "Eukaryotic small subunit ribosomal RNA", at positions 569 to 1026 of the family's 1831-position model. The record is from RNAcentral. Lineage: Eukaryota; Fungi; Glomeromycota.
AGCAGCCGCGGUAAUUCCAGCUCCAAUAGCGUAUAUUAAAGUUGUUGCAGUUAAAAGCUCGUAGUUGAAUUUCGGGGUUAGUAGGUUGGUCAUGCCACUGGUAUGUACUGAUCUUACUGAUUCCUCCUUCCUGAUGAACCGUAAUGCCAUUAAUUUGGUGUUGCGGGGAGACUGGACUGUUACUUUGAAAAAUUGAGUGUUUAAAGCAGGCUAACGCUUGAAUACAUUAGCAUGGAAUAAUGAAAUAGGACGUUCGAUCCUAUUUUGUUGGUUUCUAGGAUUGACGUAAUGAUUAAUAGGGAUAGUUGGGGGCAUUAGUAUUCAAUUGUCAGAGGUGAAAUUCUUGGAUUUAUUGAAGACUAACUACUGCGAAAGCAUUUGCCAAGGAUGUUCUCAUUAAUCAAGAACGAAAGUUAGGGGAUCGAAGACGAUCAGAUACCGUCGUAGUCU